Molecule: ribosomal RNA, 253 nt
Filed under: uncultured bacterium
Lineage: Bacteria
Description: partial 16S ribosomal RNA
Rfam family: Bacterial small subunit ribosomal RNA
Source: RNAcentral
UACGGAGGAUGCAAGCGUUAUCCGGAAUGAUUGGGCGUAAAGCGUCCGCAGGUGGCUCUGUAAGUCUGCCGUCAAAGAAUGAGGCUCAACCUCAUAAAGGCGGUGGAAACUACAAGGCUUGAGUACGUUCGGGGCAGAGGGAAUUCCUGGUGUAGCGGUGAAAUGCGUAGAGAUCAGGAAGAACACCGGUGGCGAAGGCGCUCUGCUAGGCCGUAACUGACACUGAGGGACGAAAGCUAGGGGAGCGAAUGGG